GACGAACGCUGGCGGCGUGCUUAACACAUGCAAGUCGAACGGAAAGGCCUCCACCUUGGUGGGGGUGCUCGAGUGGCGAACGGGUGAGUAACACGUGGGUGAUCUGCCCUGUACUUCGGGAUAAGCUUGGGAAACUGGGUCUAAUACCGGAUAGGACCAUGGUUUAGUGUCUCAUGGUGGAAAGAUUUUUUGGUGCAGGAUGAGCUCGCGGCCUAUCAGCUUGUUGGUGGGGUAAUGGCCUACCAAGGCGUCGACGGGUAGCCGGCCUGAGAGGGUGGACGGCCACAUUGGGACUGAGAUACGGCCCAGACUCCUACGGGAGGCAGCAGUGGGGAAUAUUGCACAAUGGGCGCAAGCCUGAUGCAGCGACGCCGCGUGGGGGAUGACGGCCUUCGGGUUGUAAACUCCUUUCGUUAGGGACGAAGCCGCACCUUUUUUGGGUGUGGUGACGGUACCUUUGUUAAGAAGCACCGGCUAACUACGUGCCAUCAGCCGCGGUAAUACGUAGGGUGCGAGCGUUGUCCGGAAUUACUGGGCGUAAAGAGCUCGUAGGUGGUUUGUUGCGUCGUCUGUGAAAUUCCGGGGCUUAACUUCGGGGUGGCAGGCGAUACGGGCAUAACUAGAGUGCUGUAGGGGAGACUGGAAUUCCUGGUGUAGCGGUGGAAUGCGCAGAUAUCAGGAGGAACACCGAUGGCGAAGGCAGGUCUCUGGGCAGUAACUGACGCUGAGGAGCGAAAGCAUGGGGAGCGAACAGGAUUAGAUACCCUGGUAGUCCAUGCUGUAAACGGUGGGCGUUAGGUGUGGGGACCGGUUUGGUUUCUGUGCCGUAGCUAACGCAUUAAGCGCCCCGCCUGGGGAGUACGGCCGCAAGGCUAAAACUCAAAGGAAUUGACGGGGGCCCGCACAAGCGGCGGAGCAUGUGGAUUAAUUCGAUGCAACGCGAAGAACCUUACCUGGGUUUGACAUGCACCAGACGGUUGUAGAGAUACGUACCUCCCUUUGUGGUUGGUGUGCAGGUGGUGCAUGGUUGUCGUCAGCUCGUGUCGUGAGAUGUUGGGUUAAGUCCCGCAACGAGCGCAACCCUUGUCUUAUGUUGCCAGCACUUUGGGUGGGGACUCAUGAGAGACUGCCGGGGUUAACUCGGAGGAAGGUGGGGAUGACGUCAAAUCAUCAUGCCCUUUAUGCCCAGGGCUUCACACAUGCUACAAUGGUUAGUACAACGCGCUGCGAGCCUGUGAGGGUGAGCGAAUCGCUGAAAGCUAAUCUCAGUUCGGAUUGGGGUCUGCAACUCGACCCCAUGAAGUCGGAGUCGCUAGUAAUCGCAGAUCAGCAAUGCUGCGGUGAAUACGUUCCCGGGCCU
This 1360-nucleotide ribosomal RNA is filed under the name uncultured bacterium. RNAcentral describes it as "bacterial SSU rRNA". It matches the Rfam family "Bacterial small subunit ribosomal RNA", at positions 28 to 1381 of the family's 1533-position model. The record is from RNAcentral.